This is a non-coding RNA of Pristionchus pacificus, 73 nucleotides long. Lineage: Eukaryota; Metazoa; Nematoda; Chromadorea; Rhabditida; Neodiplogasteridae. The record is from Rfam.
GCCAUGAUAGCUCAGUUGGGAGAGCGCCCGACUGAAGAUCGGAAGGUCGCCGGUUCGAUCCCGGCUCGUGGCA